AGGCAACACCCUUAUUACCUGAAAGGAAUUUUGAAGCAAAAGGGUGAGGACAACUAGCUCAGUAAAUAAUAUCAUGACUAAAGAUAAUUAAAUUGUCAAUAGCCUUCAUCAGUAAUAAAUUAGAGAUUUAGAACAUAUGGUAGAUGAUAAAACUUUUCAACCAUAGUUGCAGCGGAACGAGCAAUCCAUUAGAAGAGUCAAAUAGACCAUAAAGUCUAUUAUCUUCUCUAUGUUAAAAGUCCACCAACAAUGCUUUAACCCUGUAACAUUAAUCAACAGAUCCUGUUCACAGUCAUGUGAAUAACUCAUAAUCAUAAUUGUAGUUCUAAUUUUCUCUUCUCAUCCAAGACGAAGAUAUUUUUCAUCACAUGUCUUUACCUGAAACAUCAAAUAUCAUGGUUAUACCAAAUCACAUUUCUUGUUCAUAAUCAUAAUAAUAAGUUCAUCUUUGCACUACGAGCCAAAGAUAUUCAUUAACAGUUCAUCUUUGCACUACAUGCCAAAGAUAUUUAACAACAGGUCAUCUUUGCACUACACGCCAAAGAUAUUCAACAACAGGUCAUCUUUGCACUACAGACCAAAGAUAUUCAACAACAAUUCAUCUUUGCACUACAGGCCAAAGAUAUUAAUAUCUCAAAGAGAUACAUAAUCAUUUUAGAAUUUAUAUAAACAAUAAUUAUAACCAUGUUAAUCAAUUCACCUUUGCACAUAAGCUAAAAAUAUUCAAUUGUAAAUUCAAUUGUCAUGAUUAUACCAGUCAACAAUUCAUCUUUGCACUACUGGACAAAGAGAACUCAUAGUCACGAUCAUACCAAUAAUCUACCCAUCUUUAUACUUAAGUCAAAGAGAAAUUUCAUCACCGGGAUUAUAAAAAUGUUAUAUAUGAUAAUAAAAACAAUAUGAUCAAAAUAUGGAUUUAAU
Molecule: long non-coding RNA, 921 nt
Filed under: Panax ginseng (ginseng)
Lineage: Eukaryota; Viridiplantae; Streptophyta; Magnoliopsida; Apiales; Araliaceae
Description: long non-coding RNA (PGIN_LNC014174)
Source: RNAcentral